Molecule: ribosomal RNA, 497 nt
Filed under: uncultured bacterium
Lineage: Bacteria
Description: partial 16S ribosomal RNA
Rfam family: Bacterial small subunit ribosomal RNA
Source: RNAcentral
GACGAACGCUGGCGGCGUGCCUAAUACAUGCAAGUUGAGCGCUGAAGGUUGGUACUUGUACCAACUGGAUGAGCAGCGAACGGGUGAGUAACGCGUGGGGAAUCUGCCUUUGAGCGGGGGACAACAUUUGGAAACGAAUGCUAAUACUGCAUAAAAACUUUAAACACAAGUUUUAAGUUUGAAAGAUGCAAUUGCAUCACUCAAAGAUGAUCCCGCGUUGUAUUAGCUAGUUGGUGAGGUAAAGGCUCACCAAGGCGAUGAUACAUAGCCGACCUGAGAGGGUGAUCGGCCACAUUGGGACUGAGACACGGCCCAAACUCCUACGGGAGGCAGCAGUAGGGAAUCUUCGGCAAUGGACGAAAGUCUGACCGAGCAACGCCGCGUGAGUGGAGAAGGUUUUCGGAUCGUAAAACUCUGUUGGUAGAGAAGAACGUUGGUGAGAGUGGAAAGCUCAUCAAGUGACGGUAACUACCCAGAAAGGGACGGCUAACUACGUG